UGCAGUCGACGAUGAUCCCAGCUUGCUGGGGGAUUAGUGGCGAACGGGUGAGUAACACGUGAGUAACCUGCCCUUGACUCUGGGAUAAGCCUGGGAAACUGGGUCUAAUACCGGAUACGACCAUUCCACGCAUGUGGUGGUGGUGGAAAGCUUUUGUGGUUUUGGAUGGACUCGCGGCCUAUCAGCUUGUUGGUGGGGUAAUGGCCUACCAAGGCGACGACGGGUAGCCGGCCUGAGAGGGUGACCGGCCACACUGGGACUGAGACACGGCCCAGACUCCUACGGGAGGCAGCAGUGGGGAAUAUUGCACAAUGGGCGCAAGCCUGAUGCAGCGACGCCGCGUGAGGGAUGACGGCCUUCGGGUUGUAAACCUCUUUCAGUAGGGAAGAAGCGAAAGUGACGGUACCUGCAGAAGAAGCGCCGGCUAACUACGUGCCAGCAGCCGCGGUAAUACGUAGGGCGCAAGCGUUAUCCGGAAUUAUUGGGCGUAAAGAGCUCGUAGGCGGUUUGUCGCGUCUGCUGUGAAAGACCGGGGCUCAACUCCGGUUCUGCAGUGGGUACGGGCAGACUAGAGUGCAGUAGGGGAGACUGGAAUUCCUGGUGUAGCGGUGAAAUGCGCAGAUAUCAGGAGGAACACCGAUGGCGAAGGCAGGUCUCUGGGCUGUAACUGACGCUGAGGAGCGAAAGCAUGGGGAGCGAACAGGAUUAGAUACCCUGGUAGUCCAUGCCGUAAACGUUGGGCACUAGGUGUGGGGGACAUUCCACGUUUUCCGCGCCGUAGCUAACGCAUUAAGUGCCCCGCCUGGGGAGUACGGCCGCAAGGCUAAAACUCAAAGGAAUUGACGGGGGCCCGCACAAGCGGCGGAGCAUGCGGAUUAAUUCGAUGCAACGCGAAGAACCUUACCAAGGCUUGACAUGAACCGGAAAGACCUGGAAACAGGUGCCCCGCUUGCGGUCGGUUUACAGGUGGUGCAUGGGUUGUCGUCAGCUCGUGUCGUGA
Molecule: ribosomal RNA, 1000 nt
Filed under: Paenarthrobacter nitroguajacolicus
Lineage: Bacteria; Bacillati; Actinomycetota; Actinomycetes; Micrococcales; Micrococcaceae
Description: bacterial SSU rRNA
Rfam family: Bacterial small subunit ribosomal RNA
Source: RNAcentral